RNAcentral lists this unclassified non-coding RNA (254 nucleotides) under uncultured Gemmatimonadota bacterium. RNAcentral's name for it is "uncultured Gemmatimonadetes bacterium contains 16S-23S intergenic spacer region". It matches the Rfam family "Bacterial small subunit ribosomal RNA", at positions 524 to 776 of the family's 1533-position model. The record is from RNAcentral. Lineage: Bacteria; Pseudomonadati; Gemmatimonadota.
GACGGAGGGCGCAAGCUUUGUUCGGAAUUACUGUGCUGAAAGCGCGGGCGGGCGUUCUGUUAAGUCGUCUGUGAAAACCCGGGGCUCAACCCCGUGGAAUGCAGGAGAUACUGGCAGACUAGAGACCAGUAGAGGCUAGCGGAAUUCUUGGUGUAGCGGUGGAAUGCGUAGAUAUCAGGAAGAACACCUGUGGCGAAGGCGGCUAGCUGGGCUGGAUCUGACGCUCAUCCGCGAAAGCGUGGGGAGCAAACAGG